AAUCUUAUAGUUUAAGUAGAAUGCGGGUUUUGGGGAUCCGAGGUCUCUGUGAUGGAGUAGGUUGA
This 65-nucleotide transfer RNA is filed under the name Homalogaster paloniae. RNAcentral's name for it is "tRNA-Pro". Lineage: Eukaryota; Metazoa; Platyhelminthes; Trematoda; Gastrodiscidae. The record is from RNAcentral.